CGGCAAACCUAAGCAACUCAUGAUGGCCGACUUUGAUCCACCAAAGCCACCAAAGAGGAACAAAUACGCUUUUGCUUGUGCCAUGUUAGCUUCCAUGACUUCUAUCUUGCUUGGUUAUGGUAUUUAUCUACAUCUUCAGUUCAUCUGUAUUAUCGUCUUGAUCAUCAUCAUUAAUAUACUCACAUAUAUAUAUUUUUCAAAACAUGACCAAUUUGAGACGUUAGUUAAUUGAAGCCAUGUGUGAUGUGUCCCUAGCGUAUUCAUGUCCAUGUCCUCCUAUAUACAACUCAUGUUACUUAUAAAAAUAUAGAUGCCUAUAUCGUGUUUUUUGGUAUAUACCAUGGUAAAAAAUUGUAAACUAUUCACACGAUACACGUCUUGCCACAAUAUUUUUGGUCGCAUUCAAAAAUAAUUAUGUUCGAAUUUCAUCACGAUCGAUAUGUUAUAUAAUAAGUUAAGACAGGCGUCAAUGGAUGGAUGAACAAGAACUCUACUUCACGGAGAUUUUAAGAAAUAUUAUUUUUUAAUAAUCAUUGAAAAUAUGUUGGUAAUAAUUUAUCUGUAUUAUUUAAACAAUAAUUAAUACAGCUGCUAAAAAAUAAAAUAAUAUAUUUUUUCGUGUGGCAGAUAUUGGUGUGAUGAGUGGGGCGCAAAUCUACAUCAAGAAAGAUUUUAACUGUACCGACGUUCAAAUCGAGGUGCUCGUCGGAAUUCUGAACGUCUACUCGUUGGUCGGUUCAGCCGCCGCCGGGAAAACGUCGGACAUGAUUGGUCGUCGGUACACCAUCGUCUUGGCCGGAGCUAUCUUCUUCAUCGGAGCAAUCU
RNAcentral lists this long non-coding RNA (825 nucleotides) under Lactuca sativa (garden lettuce). RNAcentral describes it as "long non-coding RNA (LSAT_LNC005774)". The record is from RNAcentral. Lineage: Eukaryota; Viridiplantae; Streptophyta; Magnoliopsida; Asterales; Asteraceae.